UUUCAGGGAUGGUCAUAAUUCAUAUUGUCCUAGUUAGGACAACUGAGACCAGUUCAUCACUGGAUGGGUGUAACCCAAAACUGUAUAUUCUAUAGCCUUCUAUGCCAUUUCCCAGAAACUGUUAUCAAUGAACCAUUUACACUAUCUGCACAUAGAGCCUGACUGCUCAGGCUAUAAACUAGGUGCUAAGAGGCCUGCGAGAUAGGAGUUGCUCUUGUCCUCACACCCAUUAAGGAACUCCCUGCCCUGAGGGAGGUA
This is a long non-coding RNA of Chiroxiphia lanceolata (lance-tailed manakin), 258 nucleotides long. RefSeq lists it as uncharacterized. NCBI's taxonomy places the organism in Eukaryota, Metazoa, Chordata, Aves, Passeriformes, Pipridae. The record is from RefSeq and is a predicted model, not a curated record. The transcript has 3 exons.